AUGGCUCAGAUUGAACGCUGGCGGCAGGCCUAACACAUGCAAGUCGAGCGGAUGACAGGAGCUUGCUCCUGGAUUCAGCGGCGGACGGGUGAGUAAUGCCUAGGAAUCUGCCUGGUAGUGGGGGACAACGUUUCGAAAGGAACGCUAAUACCGCAUACGUCCUACGGGAGAAAGCAGGGGACCUUCGGGCCUUGCGCUAUCAGAUGAGCCUAGGUCGGAUUAGCUUGUUGGUGAGGUAAUGGCUCACCAAGGCGACGAUCCGUAACUGGUCUGAGAGGAUGAUCAGUCACACUGGAACUGAGACACGGUCCAGACUCCUACGGGAGGCAGCAGUGGGGAAUAUUGGACAAUGGGCGAAAGCCUGAUCCAGCCAUGCCGCGUGUGUGAAGAAGGUCUUCGGAUUGUAAAGCACUUUAAGUNNNAGGAAGGGUUGUAGAUUAAUACUCUGCAAUUUUGACGUUACCGACAGAAUAAGCACCGGCUAACUCUGUGCCAGCAG
RNAcentral lists this ribosomal RNA (499 nucleotides) under Pseudomonas sp. Its description in RNAcentral is "bacterial SSU rRNA". It matches the Rfam family "Bacterial small subunit ribosomal RNA", at positions 19 to 514 of the family's 1533-position model. The record is from RNAcentral. Lineage: Bacteria; Pseudomonadati; Pseudomonadota; Gammaproteobacteria; Pseudomonadales; Pseudomonadaceae.